Molecule: ribosomal RNA, 669 nt
Filed under: Triticum aestivum (bread wheat)
Lineage: Eukaryota; Viridiplantae; Streptophyta; Magnoliopsida; Poales; Poaceae
Description: partial small subunit ribosomal RNA
Source: RNAcentral
AUGAAGACGGCGCGAAGGAAGAGGGGCCCGGCAGGGAAAACGACGAAGGAGGGGACGGCGGAGCUCGCUGAUGAGGCGCCGAGCAGCCGUGAGGAGAAGGGAGCAGGGGCACUCCAGAUGUGGAGUGGCACCUGGUCGGGGCGCGCCAUGGCGAGGCGAGCAGGAGGCGGACGCUGGCUCAUUGGAGAAGGUGGAGAGGGAGGCCGCGGCGGCCCGAGGAGUAGAUGGCGACGGGCGGCGGCGUCUGCGAUGGAGGGAUUGACGGGAGGAGGAAAAAGGGAUCGGGAGAGAGAGAUCGAGUGGAUCAGGCUCGGCUGCGUGCGCCUGCGACGCUCUCCUGGCGGCGCUUGGAAGCACGAAGGAGGAGGAGGGGGGUUCGAGGGAGAUGGGCUAGGUUUAGGUGGGAGUGGGGCACUCGGCCUUAGGAGGGGGAUGGGCCGGCGCAUUGGGAAAGGAUGGCCUAGUGGGAGUGGGCGCUGGGAGGCCCAGCUGGUCUGGACUGGGGCCUCAACUCUCUCUCUCUCUCUCAACUUUUUUCUAAAACAGAAAAAAAAAGAGAAGAGAAGAAAAAGAAAGGAGGUGUUGGGGAAGAAGUUUGACAUGCGGAUAAUUUUCACGGACUCAGAAAAAUGUGCACGGUCCGGGAAAAUAGAAAAAGGUCAAGUUUGA